AUGCUUGAACGGCGCCGCCCCUUUUCGCCGUCUUCUUCUUCGCCUCAACCUUUCAACUCCGACGACCUCCGUCUCCCUCAAUCUAUAUCUCCGCUUCGAUGGAACUCCACAUCUCCACCUCGCAACACACCGCAGCGGCUUCCUCACCAUUCUCCUCCUCUUCUUCCGUCGUUUACCUCUUUACUCUCAGAAUCGGAGCUAGCUGAACCGGAAUCGGUUUCCUGA
Non-coding RNA from Vicia faba (fava bean), 225 nucleotides. The record is from the annotation of a GenBank genome assembly. Lineage: Eukaryota; Viridiplantae; Streptophyta; Magnoliopsida; Fabales; Fabaceae.